This 594-nucleotide ribosomal RNA is filed under the name uncultured Lachnospiraceae bacterium. RNAcentral describes it as "bacterial SSU rRNA". It matches the Rfam family "Bacterial small subunit ribosomal RNA", at positions 136 to 742 of the family's 1533-position model. Lineage: Bacteria; Bacillati; Bacillota; Clostridia; Lachnospirales; Lachnospiraceae. The record is from RNAcentral.
GUGGGGGACAACAGUUGGAAACGACUGCUAAUACCGCAUAAGCCCACGGAUCCGCAUGAAUCUGCGGGAAAAGGAUUUAUUCGCUUCAGGAUGGACUCGCAGUCCAACUUAGCUAGAUUGGUGAAGGUAACGGCCCACCAAGGCGACGAUUGGUAGCCGGACUGAGAGGUUGAACGGCCACAUUGGGACUGAGACACGGCCCAGACUCCUACGGGAGGCAGCAGUGGGGGAUAUUGCACAAUGGGGGAAACCCUGAUGCAGCGACGCCGCGUGGAGGAAGAAGGUUUUCGGAUUGUAAACUCCUGUCGUUAGGGACGAUAAUGACGGUACCUAACAAGAAAGCACCGGCUAACUACGUGCCAGCAGCCGCGGUAAAACGUAGGGUGCAAGCGUUGUCCGGAAUUACUGGGUGUAAAGGGAGCGCAGGCGGACCGGCAAGUUGGAAGUGAAAACUAUGGGCUCAACCCAUAAAUUGCUUUCAAAACUGCUGGCCUUGAGUAGUGCAGAGGUAGGUGGAAUUCCCGGUGUAGCGGUGGAAUGCGUAGAUAUCGGGAGGAACACCAGUGGCGAAGGCGACCUACUGGGCACCAACUG